CUGUUAAAUUUAUGACAAAAGUCAUCUAUUAUUUCGUUGAGUUGCUUGUUUUCUGAUCCUUCCUGUGGACGGAAUACAAGAAGUGAAUUACAAUACACGCUUCUUUGUCCAUCUUGGAACAGCUGAUAUACGUUAUUAUAGAUUCUGCUAGAUGUAAAAUGGAAACUGGAAUUUCCAUUCAUGUUCUUUUUUUCACAUGUCUGCAAAUGAAAAUCUUAUUCUCUUAGGUUAUUGAAGGGAACCAGAACCCAUGAUCCAAAGUCUAAUAUAAUCUCCUAGGCUAUUGAAUGGAACAAGAAGUCAUGUACAUGAGAUAUCAUUCUUACACUUUUGACAAAUAUCUCUACUUCUUAAGACGUGCUUUAUCUUGGAUUCUCUGUGAUUUGCUCUUUAAAAUCAUAUUUUUUUGCCAUUUGCGUGUUUGCAGUAGUUUUUGUUCCUGGACCUGAGAAUACCUUCCUCAACCAUCGUGCUAACUAACUUUAUGAUGUUUAAAUGAGAGAUAAUUAUCUUGUUCUUAAAAUUUGUGUCGUUUCUCUUGUUGGUAUGCCAUUAACCAUUGUAAAAACAAUAAAGAGUGAUGCCACGAGCUAUAAUUAUAUCCACUUAAUUUUUACAAAUUUCUCUGUUCUCUCUCCUUUUGGUUUUUGCAUUCUCUCUCUGCAUUCUUCUCUACAAGCAUUUAUACAUAGUUCUUGUUAGAUCUCUCAGUUUCAUUACCAAGAAAACACCCACAAAAGAAAAUCACAGACUAGUACUGAUAAAAUUUAACCUGUGCUACUUUCAGAAGGAAAAAACCAUAGAUGAGAGCAAAGCCUUAUAUGUGGUGGAGGAUGAAGAGCAAUUUAUUGAAGAUUGGUCUUAAUUCAUGUAUCCAAAAUGCCAUCCAAAUUAUAAUUUUCAAGUAGGAUUGGGAAAGGUUGGGUUUUAAGAUAUUGGGCUUGCAACAGAACCUCUUAAGACUUACUAUUCUGAAUUAAGAUUAGAUUCAUUAGUGGCUCUUAGAAGGUAUAUAUUUUCUCAAUAAUUCGUUGAUUUGCCAAGCUCAAUCCUAGCGUAAAUGGAACCAAUACUGACAAUUAGUUUGUUUAUUUUUUUCUGUUACAAAAACCUAUUCUUUUCUUGGUUCUAGCGUACUGAAA
This is a long non-coding RNA of Olea europaea var. sylvestris, 1142 nucleotides long. RefSeq lists it as uncharacterized. The record is from RefSeq and is a predicted model, not a curated record. NCBI's taxonomy places the organism in Eukaryota, Viridiplantae, Streptophyta, Magnoliopsida, Lamiales, Oleaceae. The transcript is spliced from 2 exons.